Danio rerio (zebrafish) is the source of this 99-nucleotide non-coding RNA. NCBI's taxonomy places the organism in Eukaryota, Metazoa, Chordata, Actinopteri, Cypriniformes, Danionidae. The record is from Rfam.
AAAAAAAAAAAGAAAUGCCCGAUCUCAUCUGAACUCGGAAGUAAAGCAGGGUCGGGCCUGGUUAGUACUUGGAUGGGAGACCGCCUGGGAAUACCAGGU